GGGAAGCUGGACUGGCUUCACCUUCAAAUACAGGGAUGAGCUCAAGCGGCACUACAACCUGGGCCAGUACUGGGUGGAGGUGGAGAUGGAGGACCUGGCCAGCUUUGAUGAGGAUCUGGCUGACUAUCUGUACAAGCAGCCCACUGAGCACCUGCAGCUGGUAAGGAUGCUCUGCCACACAGAGGGACCAGCUUCCCGAUGGGAAAAGCCAUGGGAAAUGCCUACUUUUUCCAAAAAAGAGGGUGUUCCUGCUCUGCUGCACUGGUCACAGCACACAGGGCUCCCUGAAACCAAACCCUGCCCCAAAAUGCAGAGCUUUGGAGGAAGCUGGGACUCAAACGUCCCUGCUUCAUAGUUAUGUGCCAUCUGCCUUCUCACCCGGCAAACCAGAUCAGGGCCUACUCCUCCUCAGUCUUCUGCUUUCAAAUGAAAGCCCCUGCAAGCAGUAUCAGCAAUAGGAAACAGUCUCACCUGCCUGCCCUGGAGUGAUUUUUUUUUUUUUUUUUUUUGUAAUAAAUGAAGAAAAAGGGAGGGGAAGGGGUAAAACAAGCUUUGCCCUGGUAAGCUCCAUAAGUUCAGCAUGCCCUGUGUGCCAGCUCUGAAAUAAAAAGCUCCUUUGCACUCACUGUGUCUCUGUGUAUUCAGACAGUGAAGCAGGCACUCCCACACCCCAUCUGUGCCCCAGUUUCCCCAUGAGGAGCAGGAUCUGUCCCAGUCCUGGGGCCAGGGCUCCAGCAUCACCCGCAUCCUGGGUCAGACCCUCAAACCCCACAGCCUUCAGGGUGGGGGUUCCCACAGAUGCUGACUCAUCCUUCCCCAAAGAGGCCAUUCUGCUGAGUCAGGGUCACGCCAGGCCACGGGGUUUUGCUGAGCAACGCUUCUGGGCUGCGGCAAAGGGGCCCUUAGUUGCUGAGUCACAGCAGAGAGGCCACGUGAGGCUGUUUAUCAGGAGGGCGGCUUCUGCCUGCCGUGCUGAGGUUGCAGCUGUUGUUCCUGGCCCUGCUCCCGUUUCUCAGGACGACCGGAGAAAUCUCCAGAAAUAAACCCCAGCCCCGCAGCACUGCAUGGGACGCGCAUCUCCUCUACUCCAGCUGGGAGCCACACAGCGGGGGGUUGGAAGCAGCGGGGUACAGUGGGGUUUCGCUACCUGCAGAACUUGGUUUCCUGUUCUGUCUCCUCCCGUGCCCUGAGCUGCGGUACAAAGUCCUGUUCGGUGCCUACGUGCGAGUCCUCGAAUGCAGCCACUCGCAGCGUGCGCCUGUCUCAGUCAGGGUGCACUUUGCUUCAUGCAGGGCUACGUGGGGUUUGUAUUCGCUAGCUUGCCUUGCUCCCUUCCACACCUCCCUGUGGCUCACAGACCCCAGUCCCAGCAGGUCGCAGGGUCUGUCCCCACCGGCACCCGGCCCCAGCCGAAGCCCUUAUCCAUACAUCUGGAACAAUGCGUAUUGUAAUCACCGCUUCCUGCUUCCAUCACCCUGAGAACCCGGCACGCACGUCCAUCCCCCACCACAUCCGUCUCUGGGGCCACGGCACGGGCUCUGUGCGGAGCAGCAGCAUCCGUCCCCCAGAGGUGCCACCGCCACAGCCCCACGGGGAGGACCCCUUGGUUCUCAGUGCUCCCACCCACUGUGCUCCAUCUGUAUCUUUGAUCUGGGUUCGGGUUGUUCUGCGGCGAGGGCAAUAAGCACAAUCCGUUCUGCCAGGGCAGCCUCCUUUUGGUAAACACGAAUUAGCACACAGCACGUCCUGUGGACUCCAGCAGUGACUCUCUCCUUUCACAAGUAGCUGUACGUGGGUAUUGCAGCUGUGUGGGGUUUUUCCCUCUCCAUUACACAGCAAGAUCUGGUUGCUGAGUCAGCCCCCCUCCCAGCCAGGCUGAAUUCUGCUGUGUCAUGGUUUCAGUCCUCCAUCAGUUCCCUCUUUGCUGGCCAAGACUGGCUGUGACCAGGCGGUGCCUCCUUGCACUGGCCAAGCCGCUGGGAAGCAAUGCAUCAGAGCCAAAUGAGGAGCGGUGUUCCAGAAGGCAGGAGAUCUUUCUUCUCUGGGGCAGAUGGUGUAACCAGAGGGUUCUGGCUGUGAAGCCUACAGUCAGGACAAGCUGUUAGGUCCAUAAAGAGGAAAAUCUUAGAAUCAUCGAAUCAUUUAAGUUGGAAGGGACUUUUAAAAGGUCAUCUGGUCCAACUCCCCUGCAAUGAACAGGGACACCUACAGCUACAUCAGGGUGCUCAGAGCCCCUCCAGCCUGACCCUGGGUGUCUCCAGGGAUAGAGCAUCCACCACCUCUCUGGAUGACCCGCUCCAGUGUUUCACUACCUAUAUUAUAAAAAACUUCUUUAUUAUAUCCAACCUAAAACUCCCCUCAUUUAGUUUGAAAUCAUUUCCCCUUGUCCUAUUCUAACAGAUCCUGCUAAAGAGCCUGUCCCUUUCGAUCUCCCACAUUUCCCUUCCCCUGAUGGCAACACUGACUCCUCAGUGACUUCUGUUGCUGAAGUCUAUUCCGUUCCUCUAACCCAUCCCAUGACUUAAACAUUUUCUCAAAGACUCAGACAGGCAGAUGGAGGUAUUUGAGCCCAUCACUAUCACAAAUAUCAGCCUCAGGCUGCUUCAUUUAUCUUCCUACAAAUCCCCCAGGCAAACUCAGCAGUAGUCCCACACGACACCAUCCCCUCCGGCACCGUGCAGCCACUGAUCAGUGAAAGCACAGCAAAAGCAGAGAGGAAGCAAUGCAAGUCCUCACUGCAGAGCACUGGAUCAAGCCAGAAAAGCUUCAGCCCAGCAAUUGCAAAACUGAUGACAGCCUGCUUU
Molecule: long non-coding RNA, 2804 nt
Filed under: Gallus gallus (chicken)
Lineage: Eukaryota; Metazoa; Chordata; Aves; Galliformes; Phasianidae
Description: lncRNA (ENSGALG00010015702.1)
Source: RNAcentral